GACAGAGGGUGCAAACGUUGCUCGGAAUUACUGGGCGUAAAGCGCGUGUAGGCGGACUUGUAAGUCAGGUGUGAAAGCCCUGGGCUCAACCCAGGAACUGCAUCUGAAACUGCUCGUCUUGAGUGUCGGAGAGGGAAGCGGAAUUCCGGGUGUAGAGGUGAAAUUCGUAGAUAUCCGGAGGAACACCGGUGGCGAAGGCGGCUUCCUGGACGACUACUGACGCUGAGACGCGAAAGCGUGGGGAGCAAACAGG
Molecule: ribosomal RNA, 253 nt
Filed under: uncultured bacterium
Lineage: Bacteria
Description: partial 16S ribosomal RNA
Rfam family: Bacterial small subunit ribosomal RNA
Source: RNAcentral